RNAcentral lists this ribosomal RNA (253 nucleotides) under uncultured bacterium. RNAcentral's name for it is "partial 16S ribosomal RNA". It matches the Rfam family "Bacterial small subunit ribosomal RNA", at positions 524 to 776 of the family's 1533-position model. The record is from RNAcentral.
UACGAAGGGAGCUAGCGUUGUUCGGAAUCACUGGGCGUAAAGCGCACGUAGGCGGCUUGGCAAGUCGGAUGUGAAAUCCCUCGGCUCAACCAAGGAAGUGCAUCCGAAACUGCUGAGCUUGAGUACUUAAGAGGAUCGCGGAAUUCCCGGUGUAGAGGUGAAAUUCGUAGAUAUCGGGAGGAACACCAGUGGCGAAGGCGGCGAUCUGGGAAGAUACUGACGCUGAGGUGCGAAAGCGUGGGGAGCAAACAGG